RNAcentral lists this long non-coding RNA (677 nucleotides) under Nicotiana tabacum (common tobacco). Its description in RNAcentral is "long non-coding RNA (NTAB_LNC013115)". The record is from RNAcentral. Lineage: Eukaryota; Viridiplantae; Streptophyta; Magnoliopsida; Solanales; Solanaceae.
UGCCCCAUCCCCAGCGUCCCACUCCCACCCAGGCCCAGCUCCCCCAACUCCCAACCCAAGCCCAAUCCCAAUCAAUUACCCAAGUCAGACUCAGUUAAUACCCAACCCAAGACCCAAGUCGAGAACCAAAUUAGGCAUUCUCAUCAAAGUAGGGCAUUAGCCAUUAGGGCUUGCUUACUGCUUCAGACUUCAGUGCUUAGGACUGUAGGAGAUAUCAUCGAGAAGAAGAAGACGAGAAUCGACUGCGAGUCUAGGAUAUCACUUAUCAGUCUGCGAGUCUAGACGAGAAUCGACUGCUUAGGAUAUCAGUCUACGUCUCUACGAGUUACGACCAGUCGACAUUCGAGCUCAAGUCUCAUCUCAUCUUCACCGAUUAACUUCACUACUUUUGUAAGUUUUGUAAGUCUCAUCUCAUUCUCAUGAUCUCAUCCCAGUAAUCGACUACUCUCUGAGGUUUUUUUGAGUUUUUAUAUUUUUAAGUUUUGAACUUUUUGAGUUCAGAGUUCAGACGCAUAAAUUUUUUAAUUUCUGAUUUUCUGCAUCAAACUAAUUUAGGGUUAUAGGCGGCGAUUUCCAGCUCGAUUCGAUUCCUCACUCCUCACAAAUUCCGGGCAAACGAAGUGUCGAAGACGCUGCUGUCUUGUUCCAGUGUUCCGAGCUCGAUUCAAUUUCAAUUU